AUUGAACGCUGGCGGCAGGCCUAACACAUGCAAGUCGAGCGGAUGAAGGGAGCUUGCUCCUGGAUUUAGCGGCGGACGGGUGAGUAAUGCCUAGGAAUCUGCCUGGUAGUGGGGGAUAACGUCCGGAAACGGGCGCUAAUACCGCAUACGUCCUGCGGGUGAUACUGGGGGAUCUUCGGACCUUACGCUCUCUGAUGAGUCUAGGUCGGAUUAGCUAGUUGGUGGGGUAAAGGCCUACCAAGGCGACCAUCCGUAACUGGUCUGAGAGGAUGAUCGGUCACACUGGAAGUGAGACGCGGUCCAGGCGACUACGGGAGGGAGCAGUGGGGAAUAGUGGGCAGUAGGCGGAAUCCUGGUCCAGCCAGGCCGCGUGUGUUGAGGAGGUCUUCGGAGUGGAAAGCACUUUAAGUUGUGGUGAAGGGCAUUAAGUUAAUACCUUGCUGUAUUGACGUUACCAGCAGAAUAAGCACCGGCUAACUUCGUG
Molecule: ribosomal RNA, 484 nt
Filed under: uncultured bacterium
Lineage: Bacteria
Description: partial 16S ribosomal RNA
Rfam family: Bacterial small subunit ribosomal RNA
Source: RNAcentral